Long non-coding RNA from Passer domesticus (house sparrow), 2175 nucleotides. RefSeq lists it as uncharacterized. NCBI's taxonomy places the organism in Eukaryota, Metazoa, Chordata, Aves, Passeriformes, Passeridae. The transcript has 3 exons. The record is from RefSeq and is a predicted model, not a curated record.
GCCAUUUUGUGGGCGGGGGGCAGGUCUGCUCCUCAGGGGAGGUGGUGAUUGCUCCGCGCCUCUCACUCUUUCUAAAUACAUUAUGUAUAAUUAUAUAUUUUAUAUAUAAAAAUAAAUGAGCCUAUGUCGAGAUAUUUGACUCAUUGCAUAGCAGAGCUUUGCUGUUUAAACGCUUGGUUUUGCAAAGCAGCUAACCUUUCCCCACUAAUUACUUUAAUAAUUUUCACCUCUCUGUAUGUUCUGCUGUUCCAUCACAAUGCUGUUCUCCUUGUGGUAGUGCUGCUCCUGGAUCAGUUCCAGUUUAAAUAACGGGAUUGCAAUUCAUGGAGCUGAGGGAGAAAAGAAACCUCUCUCUGCACCUGGGGUCCCAGUGAUGCCAGUGAUAAGUCUUGGAGGAUCAAAAAGUACUUCUGAAAAGCACUCUCCUUGCCUUCCAUCCUAAAUUAUCUUGCACAAUCAAGAAAUUAUCAAAACAGAGCACAGAAGCUGAGCCCUAUAAAUAAUGCAGCUGAUAUCAGGAAGAAGCUGGAGUUGUAGAAGAUGUAGCGGAAAUCACUGGUUAUGUCUACCAGGAGACCUGAAAUAGAAGUCAUAGCUUAGCCAAAGAGAAGAGACACACUAAAGUCAUUCAUUUACAUGAACAUCAAACCUGAAUCAUUCAGCAAACUGCCAUAUGCAAAAGACAAGCAUUCUCUGAUGAGUUAAGUUCUCUCCUCUUCUCUGGAUUCUAGUGAUUGUUUAGUUUUUUAUUUGUAGUCACAAGUCAGGUGAUACUUCUGUAGAAAGAAUUUCUCAAUACACACAGAAAUCAGGAAAGAAAGGAAAUUGGAAUUUUUUCCCCACCCUGCUGUUUUAUUUCAUGUGCUCAGCAGAGGACCCUUGUGCCACUGCCACUUAGAGGCUUUUGAAAUGAGUGACCAUAUUACAUCCUAGGGCAGAAAAUAGAACAACUAGAUAGAGAAAUAGCUCAGAAAUUUACAUAGUAAGGUCUCCAAACUGAACAUUUGUCUCUAAUCCUGUUUAAUGAAGGAUAAGGAAAUUCACAGCACAGCAAGAUUAUGACUAACAUUAAGUGACCUCAAUAUAAACCAUUUAGAAAUGUGAGAUAUCAAGGGAGUAAUUUAACACUAAUAUUAGAGAUGGAAAAGUGAUACUUAGGCCAAAAUAUAUGAUGUUUUCCAUAGGCUGCUUAUCAAUGUGGAAAUACUGGAAUAAUGUUUAUUUGCUUAUAUUUUUCAGUCAAGAUUGGUGAUGUUUCUUUCCAUGGUGUACUUUUUUUGUAGCAGAUUUUAGGACUACAAACAGAAAUGGAGGUGCUUUUCUGUGCUUUUUUUUUGGCCAAUUGCUGCUCCUGUUAGAGAUCACCAAGAAGGGACCUUUUUUCUCUUUGAGAAAAGUGACUGACAUGCUAAUGCCAGGGAAUACCAUGAAAUGCACUGCAUGUUACCACCACAUUAUUGAACCAGACAUAAUUUUCCUGCUGAGUAGCCACAAUUCAUUGUCUGGAGAGGAGAACUAAAGCCUGAACUGAGGCUAACAUGCUCUGGUUGACAUUUGUUGGUCUUUUGAAUUUACUGCAGGAGCAGGUGUGUCUUGGACAGGUCACUUAGUGGCAUUUAGAGUGAACUGUGAAUAAUUUAUUGGACUGAGAGUCAACUAGCUCCUUUCUUGUCUCCAGAGAAAAAUUAAUAUGCUCCAGAACUUGGAAAGAAGACUGAACAGAAGCUUUUACUAUGGGGCUUUUGAAUAAUGUAGGACUGGUAAUAAUUGUGAACACAAAUAAUUCAUUUAAUGGGAUGUUCACAAUUUCUUGAGACUUCUUGGAUAAAACAAUGCAAACUGGUAAAAAGAUGAAAAAGUUAAUAGUUAUUCCUGUUGGCUUCUUGCCACUGGAAAAAAGCUGUCAUUGCUCCCAUAUGUACCAGAUCACAUACCAAGUGAGUAAUUUUUUCAGUGUGAUCUUGAUGCAGAUGUAGAAGUUACUUUCCAGCUGUCAAAAGAGGCUGACAAUUCUUUUCCAACCCUACCUUUUAUACUGCCCCCUUUGCAUAACUCACCUACACCAUGGGUCUGGAAACUCCCUAAUUCCUCUUCUUGAUGCCCCCAAACACUUGUCACCAGUUUCCAAGCCACCACCUUUCCCCUAGCCAGGUUUCAUGGCCUCUCUCACCUGUG